UUAUUAUUAUUAUUAUUAUUUUUUUUUUUUUUUUCUUCCGCCAAAUUUUGUUCUUGCGAUAAAUGUUUGUUUCGCAAUAUGUCGCUUAGAUAUUUCUCAUAUUGUAUCGUAUAGUUUAUGCGCUUUUAAAUUUCACCCUGCUAAGACGAACCAAUUUUCUCUGUAAGAGUUAUCUCCCUAUUCACUGUUUAUCAUGUGUGUGCAUCUCCUUCGUAACAAAAAAAGAUAGCGACAAAAUUCUUUUUACAAAUUGUUCGUUACAUCCUCAGAAAAUUUUUGGCUAAUUUGGAUCGAAGCGAUUCGAUGAAAUUUUAUAGGAGUUAUCUAUCUUUACGGAAUAAAUUUGUCGGUAUGUUUUUUUAACUC
RNAcentral lists this long non-coding RNA (366 nucleotides) under Mytilus galloprovincialis (Mediterranean mussel). The record is from RNAcentral. Lineage: Eukaryota; Metazoa; Mollusca; Bivalvia; Mytilida; Mytilidae.